GCCUACGGGGGGCAGCAGUGGGGAAUAUUGCACAAUGGGGGAAACCCUGAUGCAGCAACGCCGCGUGAGUGAAGAAGUAUUUCGGUAUGUGAAGCUCUAUCAGCAGGGAAGAAGAUGACGGUACCUGAGUAAGAAGCCCCGGCUAACUACGUGCCAGCAGCCGCGGUAAUACGUAGGGAGCAAGCGUUAUCCGGAUUUACUGGGUGUAAAGGGCGUGUAGGCGGGCAUGCAAGCCAGAAGUGAAAUCUGGGGGCUUAACCCCCAAACUGCUUUUGGAACUGCGUGUCUUGAGUGAUGGAGAGGCA
RNAcentral lists this ribosomal RNA (305 nucleotides) under uncultured bacterium. RNAcentral describes it as "bacterial SSU rRNA". It matches the Rfam family "Bacterial small subunit ribosomal RNA", at positions 337 to 659 of the family's 1533-position model. The record is from RNAcentral.